UUACCCGACUUAGCUGAGAGGUGGUGCAUGGCCGUCGUCAGUUCGUACUGUGAAGCAUCCUGUUAAGUCAGGCACGAGCGAGACCCACGUCCACAGUUGCCAGCAUACCCUCCGGGGUGGAUGGGUACACUGUGGAGACCGCCGCUGCUAAAGCGGAGGAAGGAGUGGGCAACGGUAGGUCAGUAUGCCCCGAAUCUCCCGGGCUACACGCGGGCUACAAUGGUUGGUACAAUGGGCAUCUACCCCGAAAGGGGAAGGAAAUCUCUUAAAGCCAAUCGUAGUUCGGAUUGAGGGCUGCAACUCGCCCUCAUGAAGCUGGAAUCCGUAGUAAUCGCGUUUCAACAGAACGCGGUGAAUACGUCCCUGCUCCUU
This 372-nucleotide ribosomal RNA is filed under the name uncultured Methanosaeta sp. RNAcentral describes it as "bacterial SSU rRNA". It matches the Rfam family "Archaeal small subunit ribosomal RNA", at positions 968 to 1338 of the family's 1478-position model. The record is from RNAcentral. Lineage: Archaea; Methanobacteriati; Methanobacteriota; Methanomicrobia; Methanotrichales; Methanotrichaceae.